AUUGAACGCUGGCGGCAGGCCUAACACAUGCAAGUCGAGCGGAUGAAGGGAGCUUGCUCCUGGAUUCAGCGGCGGACGGGCGAGUAAUGCCUAGGAAUCUGCCUGGUAGUGGGGGAUAACGUCCGGAAACGGGCGCUGAUACCGCCUACGUCCUGAGGGAGAAAGUGGGGGAUCUUCGGACCUCACGCUAUCAGAUGAGCCUAGGUCGGAUUAGCUAGUUGGUGGGGUAAAGGCCUACCAAGGCGACGAUCCGUAACUGGUCUGAGAGGAUGACUAGUCACACGGGAACUGAGACACGGUCCAGACGCCUACGGGAGGCAGCAGUGGGGAAUAUGGGACAAUGGGCGAAAGCCUGAUCCAGCCAUGCCGCGUGUGUGAAGAAGGUCUUCGGAUUGUAAAGCACUUGAAGUUGGGAGGAAGGGCAGUAAGUUAAUACCUUGCUGUUUUGACGUUAACAACAGAAGAAGCACCGGCUAACUUCGUG
This 484-nucleotide ribosomal RNA is filed under the name uncultured bacterium. Its description in RNAcentral is "partial 16S ribosomal RNA". It matches the Rfam family "Bacterial small subunit ribosomal RNA", at positions 30 to 507 of the family's 1533-position model. The record is from RNAcentral.